GACGAACGCUGGCGGCGUGCUUAACACAUGCAAGUCGAACGGAAAGGCCCCAGCUUGCUGGGGUACUCGAGUGGCGAACGGGUGAGUAACACGUGGGUGAUCUGCCCUGCACUUCGGGAUAAGCCUGGGAAACUGGGUCUAAUACCGGAUAGGACCAUCGUUUAGUGUCGGUGGUGGAAAGUGUCUCGGUGCAGGAUACGCCCGCGGCCUAUCUGCUUGUUGGUGGGGUAAUGGCCUACCAAGGCGUCGACGGGGAGCCGGCCGGAGGGGGUGGACGGCCAAGUUGGGAUUGAAGCAGGUCCCAGCCGCCGUCGGGGGGCAGGAGUGGGGAUUAUUGCGCAAUGGGCGCACGCCUGAUGCAGCGGCGCGGCGUGGGGGAUGACGGCCUUCGGGUUGUAAUCUCCUUUUGCGAAGUGGGAGACCACUUGGAGAAUAAGGAGCUGCUAACUCUGUGCCAGCCGCCGCGGUAA
Molecule: ribosomal RNA, 470 nt
Filed under: uncultured bacterium
Lineage: Bacteria
Description: partial 16S ribosomal RNA
Rfam family: Bacterial small subunit ribosomal RNA
Source: RNAcentral